AACGAACGCUGGCGGCAUGCUUAACACAUGCAAGUCGAACGAGACCUCCCUUCCUAGUGCUCCACCGGCGCGUAACGCGUUGGAACCUGCCUUAAGUGCCCGAAUAACUCCCCUAAACGGCGGCUACUAGCGGUAAUUGUCUAUGGACCAAAGAUUUAUCGCCUUUGGAUGUGCCCGCGUUGGAUUAGUUAGUUGGUAGGGUAAAAGCCUACCGAGGCGACGAUCCAUAGCUGGUCUGAGACGAGGAUCAGCCGCACUGGAACUGAGACACAGCCCAGACUCGUACGGGGGGGAGCAGUAGGGAGUAUAAGACGAGGGGCGAAAGCCUGGUCCAGCAGUGCCGCGUGAGUGAUGAAGGCCUUAGGAUUGUAAAGCUCUUUUACCCGAGAUGAUAAUGACGGUACCGGGAGAAUAAGCGCCGGCUAACUACGUG
This 433-nucleotide ribosomal RNA is filed under the name uncultured bacterium. RNAcentral describes it as "partial 16S ribosomal RNA". It matches the Rfam family "Bacterial small subunit ribosomal RNA", at positions 29 to 507 of the family's 1533-position model. The record is from RNAcentral.